UAUUGCACAAUGGGCGCAAGCCUGAUGCAGCGACGCCGCGUGAGUGAAGAAGUAUCUCGGUAUGUAAAGCUCUAUCAGCAGGGAAGAAAAUGACGGUACCUGACUAAGAAGCCCCGGCUAACUACGUGCCAGCAGCCGCGGUAAUACGUAGGGGGCAAGUGUUAUCCGGAUUUACUGGGUGUAAAGGGAGCGUAGACGGAUCUGCAAGUCUGGAGUGAAAGCCCGGGGCUCAACCCCGGGACUGCUUUGGAAACUGUAGGUCUAGAGUGCCGGAGAGGUAAGCGGAAUUCCUAGUGUAGCGGUGAAAUGCGUAGAUAUUAGGAGGAACACCAGUGGCGAAGGCGGCUUACUGGACGGUAACUGACGUUGAGGCUCGAAAGCGUGGGGAGCAAA
RNAcentral lists this ribosomal RNA (393 nucleotides) under uncultured bacterium. RNAcentral's name for it is "bacterial SSU rRNA". It matches the Rfam family "Bacterial small subunit ribosomal RNA", at positions 362 to 772 of the family's 1533-position model. The record is from RNAcentral.